This 108-nucleotide unclassified non-coding RNA is filed under the name Chryseobacterium ureilyticum. RNAcentral describes it as "Flavo-1 RNA". Lineage: Bacteria; Pseudomonadati; Bacteroidota; Flavobacteriia; Flavobacteriales; Weeksellaceae. The record is from RNAcentral.
CCCUAGCCCCGAUAGAAACGGUUACCCCACAGCAUACAUUGGAAAGCGUUAGGGUUUAGAAGUUGGAUAGCAUGGUGCGAGGAGUAUGAGUGAAGAGCGGGAAAUAGC